Molecule: long non-coding RNA, 20201 nt
Filed under: Olea europaea (common olive)
Lineage: Eukaryota; Viridiplantae; Streptophyta; Magnoliopsida; Lamiales; Oleaceae
Description: long non-coding RNA (OEUR_LNC006175)
Source: RNAcentral
GUUAACGCUUGGUAUACCCUCUUUUGGUGAAUUCUAAACAAUCCAAAAUUGGUGCCAAAAUAACGAAGUGCCGCCCAAAAUCAAUCAAAAUCUGUGGAAAAUACUGCCAAAAGGCCCUAAUAGGUUGUGUGAAUUCUAGAGGCGUUAAAGAAAAGAUUCUUGAUUGACUCGCUAGCAAUCCUAUUGUUGACCCAUACGGGUCUAAUGGUAGAAAAUGCGUCUUAGAGAUGCUUGGUAGGUGUUUGAGAAAAUGGAUGAGAGAUAUGUGAUUUUAUUUAAACGGUUUGUUGGUGGGUACGCUAGAAGUCGGCAUCGCGACGAGACACUACAGUUGUAUGGGAAGAUGCCGUGGGUUGGUUGGCGUGGGAAAUGACCUGAUGAGUAUACUUCCCCUCAUAUUUUCAACAGUUGCGGCGGUUUGUGGCCUGUGGGAUCCGGAGAGGGAAUUCAUGGUCAUUUGAUAAUGUUUGAAUUCGUUGUUGUAAUUUGUAAAUGCUUUAAUCCUUAUUUUUGCCAAGCGGCAUCUUGGGCGUGCGAGGAUGGUGUGCAGUGGGAUGUUUUAGGAUCUCGUAGAAAAUGAUGAUCUUGGUGCAUUUGGAGGAUGGACAGUAUUUGGUAGGAUUGAGGUUGUUCUUUCGACGAAUAAGUGCUGUUUUAACCAUUUUUACUAAUUCUGAUGCAGCAUCCUCCGCAGAGGGACUGCAUUGUUGGAUUUGGCUGCUCUUAUGGGGGUGCUUACAUCCUACAAUCAAACAAAUAAGAACUCUCCGGAAAUUUCUGCUUUAGGUUUAACCUACUAAGUUCAAAAAAUUAUACCCGUUUACUGGUUAAUUUCUUUCCAUUUUCUGGAUUAUAAGUAUUGAAAGUUGAUUUUUGAAUUUAUUUUAAUCUCCAGUACUAUCAGAUUAGAAGGUAAAUUAUAGCUGUUUUGCAUACCAGCUCUAAAAUUUCUUAUAGAAGGAAGGCAAAUCAACGAAAGAAUUUAGCAUAUUUCGGUUCUUACGCCGGAUUAUUACAUUUCUCUUUCAUGUAGUUAAAUUAAUUUUAUAUUGUUGUUACUUCUUUUUCUUGUUUCUCGCUGAAGUUAUAUCCAUAUCAAUUUAUUUCAUUUUAACUUGAACUCCAUGUUUUGGCACAUUUUGUAUUUCAAAAUGAAACAGCACAUCCCAAGGUUCUUGGUAAAUAUUCGUUUGUGGAGAAACAGUAAUUGGCCAUGAAUGGUUUAUGAAUUAUAUGCAGGCUGGAGCAAAUUACUACUACGUUAUCUUUAACAAUAUUGUGGUAUAUCUGGAUAGGUAUUUAAAAAGGUUCUUGUGAUCUUAAUGUAAUAAGAUAUGGUGUUUAAUCAUUAAAAAUAAUUAAAGAUAAUGUAAUUGGGUAGCUUAUAGGGACGACCUAUAGUUUUGCAUGUGAGAUGACUUCUCGUGGUGGUAAUUGGUUUAGAAAGAAACAAUGAAGACAGAUUUUAUGGGAUCUUUAUAUUGAUGAUAAGACAGAAAACUAAACUGUUUCUGUUUUGCUGUGUAUAAAGCUUCUUUAUAUUAACUAGGGAUUUUGUCCUUAGAAAGUGAAAAAAUAUUUGCUACUAAGACUAUGGAUAUCUAGGAAGUUCACUUAUUUCUUAUCCCAAGUAAUAUUAUUGCAGGUACCUGAAUAUUGAAACUCUCCAUUAUUUUCAUAAUUUUUUUCCUUCAUUAUGAACUAAUUGUUGGUAUGAGGUUGCUAUUAAAAGCAAUAAAGCUGAUCUUGUAACCCACUUACCUACUAUUAUAUUAGGAUAAGUUCGAGAGAAGAAUUGGGUCAGUUUUGUAUGCCCAACUUUGUAAUUUUUUUCUCCUUGGACAUGCUAUACUUUGACUACUCCUGAGAUAUAAUGUGAACAUUUUGUUACGGUGGCAAGCUGAGUGAGAGAUAUUCUUCUAUAUCAUUAGAACAAAUCAACGAAGGCAUAACGUGCCAUUGGGGGUGGCAAAAGCACGUCAUACUAUGUGAUGGAAGGCAAGGUAGUUGUUAGUCCCCUUUUUUCUGCUUUAAGAAAAAUAUAGAACUAUAUUGAUACAUAUAUGAUCGUUGACUUUGUUUUCGUGUAAAUGAUUUAUUUUCUAUAUACGAUUUCAUUGAUUUGCAAUACCAUCAACUGACAACAAGUUCUUUAGGUUAAUGGGGUAAGGUUCAUGUUGAGACUAGACAAGUUCUCUUUUGGAUAACCUUUAGUGUGCAGAAGGAAUUGGGUCUUUCCUUUAGCAGACACGCUAAGGAUUCUCGGUGUCAAUCUGUGCAUCAUUUAAAUAUGAAAUUUCAAUCAUACCCAGAUUAUCGCCCUACCUAGCUAGUAAAUCAAACUCCAAUGAAUAAGGAUCCAAUCAUCUAUGUCUGAGUUUAGCAUUUGGGUUUUGAGAUGUUAUACAGUCAAUUAAGGGGAUGGAUCUAAUCCAAUAAAAAAAAGGUUUCCUUUAGGAAAAUAAAUUAGAAAAAUAGGAUUCAAAAGGCAGGUACAAUAAAAAUUUCGUAAUCCAGGUCCUUCCCUUUUUAUUCUUCUUUUAUGCGAGUUGCAGUCCUUUAUGUAAACCUCAUAAUUAGAGGCAAGGGAAAUCUAUUGAUCAAGCCAACUAGUUUACCUAGAUGUAAUUUCUUUCCUUUAAAUUUUAGAUGAAAUCAUAGUCUUUUAUAUUGCCCCAUGACUUCCAUUCAAUCUGAGAUUUAACCUUGGUAAAACACAGUUCCAAUCUUUCUUCUUGGUGUCUUCUCUUUUUUCCAGACUAUGCUUAAGUUUGUUAGGCAUCCGCAUUGCAUUAAUGCCUUCUAACAAGCCUUUGGUAGGAUAAAAUUAUCGGCCAAAGGCAAUUACAUUUUGUUGCUAAAAUAAAUAUGCUCUUGUGACAAAUUGAUUGGAGUUCAAACAAUUAGGUAGCUUUUACUUAAACACAAACAACUUGUUCUUAUUUCUUUGCUUCGUUCUUGAAACCUACCGCAAAAAUGGUUGGUUUUCCUAAUUUUUCACGCUCUUGCUACAGUUGAAUGAUCCUCUUUGAAUAAUUUUCCAACCCAAGGGUAGCUGUAAUUUCUCAAAGCUAUUUAUAACAUUGUAAUAUUGCGGCCAAGGUGGUCGAAGAGUAGAGUUUUGGUGGUCGAAAAGUGGUGACUCUAAUACUUUCGACCAUUUUUUGUAUUUGGUCAUCCCAUUUUGGCUUGAAUUUUCGACCAAAUCAGUUGGUGUUAUGGCCAGAGUUUGGGUGGGUUGCGAAGAGGGAAGUGAGGACUUCAAGGUGAUAUGUCGAUCCGACGACCAAGGUGGCCGGAGGGUGGAUUUUGGUGGUCCAUAAAUGGUGACUCUAAGGUGAUUUAGGGGUUGGAAAGUUCAGCGACUUCUAGAAAAUUUUUUGUAAAGUUCAAUGACUAUUUAGGUGAUUUUUAAAGUUCAGUGACUUUAAAAAACUUUUUGUAAAGUUUAGUGAUCAUUUGGGUAAUUUUUAAAGUUCAGUGAUCCCUUGAAAAUCUUUUACAAAAUUCAAUGACUUUUGGCGUAAUUAACCCAAAUCUUGGAUUUGAUAGUUGAAAUUUGCUAUUUUUACACUGAUUUAUGACGUUUGCAUUAUUAUCAAGUGUCAAUUAGAUAAAAAAUUAUUUGAAAUUUAAACUAUUCAAUAAAAUAGGGGUACCUGAUAAAGUGUAAAUUAAAGUGCAUAUUCAUCAAGGUUGUUUGAUAGUUAACGCUUGGUAUACCCUCUUUUGGUGAAUUCUAAACAAUCCAAAAUUGGUGCCAAAAUAACGAAGUGCCGCCCAAAAUCAAUCAAAAUCUGUGGAAAAUACUGCCAAAAGGCCCUAAUAGGUUGUGUGAAUUCUAGAGGCGUUAAAGAAAAGAUUCUUGAUUGACUCGCUAGCAAUCCUAUUGUUGACCCAUACGGGUCUAAUGGUAGAAAAUGCGUCUUAGAGAUGCUUGGUAGGUGUUUGAGAAAAUGGAUGAGAGAUAUGUGAUUUUAUUUAAACGGUUUGUUGGUGGGUACGCUAGAAGUCGGCAUCGCGACGAUGGUUGAAUGAUCCUCUUUGAAUAAUUUUCCAACCCAAGGGUAGCUGUAAUUUCUCAAAGCUAUUUAUAACAUUGUAAUAUUCUUGUUCACACGAAAAAGAAAAUGUUGUUUGUUUGGUUGUAGGAUGUAAAAUACGUCGGUAGGAGAGAGAUAUGUGAUUUUAUUUAAACGGUUUGUUGGUGGGUACGCUAGAAGUCGGCAUCGCGACGAGACACUACAGUUGUAUGGGAAGAUGCCGUGGGUUGGUUGGCGUGGGAAAUGACCUGAUGAGUAUACUUCCCCUCAUAUUUUCAACAGUUGCGGCGGUUUGUGGCCUGUGGGAUCCGGAGAGGGAAUUCAUGGUCAUUUGAUAAUGUUUGAAUUCGUUGUUGUAAUUUGUAAAUGCUUUAAUCCUUAUUUUUGCCAAGCGGCAUCUUGGGCGUGCGAGGAUGGUGUGCAGUGGGAUGUUUUAGGAUCUCGUAGAAAAUGAUGAUCUUGGUGCAUUUGGAGGAUGGACAGUAUUUGGUAGGAUUGAGGUUGUUCUUUCGACGAAUAAGUGCUGUUUUAACCAUUUUUACUAAUUCUGAUGCAGCAUCCUCCGCAGAGGGACUGCAUUGUUGGAUUUGGCUGCUCUUAUGGGGGUGCUUACAUCCUACAAUCAAACAAAUAAGAACUCUCCGGAAAUUUCUGCUUUAGGUUUAACCUACUAAGUUCAAAAAAUUAUACCCGUUUACUGGUUAAUUUCUUUCCAUUUUCUGGAUUAUAAGUAUUGAAAGUUGAUUUUUGAAUUUAUUUUAAUCUCCAGUACUAUCAGAUUAGAAGGUAAAUUAUAGCUGUUUUGCAUACCAGCUCUAAAAUUUCUUAUAGAAGGAAGGCAAAUCAACGAAAGAAUUUAGCAUAUUUCGGUUCUUACGCCGGAUUAUUACAUUUCUCUUUCAUGUAGUUAAAUUAAUUUUAUAUUGUUGUUACUUCUUUUUCUUGUUUCUCGCUGAAGUUAUAUCCAUAUCAAUUUAUUUCAUUUUAACUUGAACUCCAUGUUUUGGCACAUUUUGUAUUUCAAAAUGAAACAGCACAUCCCAAGGUUCUUGGUAAAUAUUCGUUUGUGGAGAAACAGUAAUUGGCCAUGAAUGGUUUAUGAAUUAUAUGCAGGCUGGAGCAAAUUACUACUACGUUAUCUUUAACAAUAUUGUGGUAUAUCUGGAUAGGUAUUUAAAAAGGUUCUUGUGAUCUUAAUGUAAUAAGAUAUGGUGUUUAAUCAUUAAAAAUAAUUAAAGAUAAUGUAAUUGGGUAGCUUAUAGGGACGACCUAUAGUUUUGCAUGUGAGAUGACUUCUCGUGGUGGUAAUUGGUUUAGAAAGAAACAAUGAAGACAGAUUUUAUGGGAUCUUUAUAUUGAUGAUAAGACAGAAAACUAAACUGUUUCUGUUUUGCUGUGUAUAAAGCUUCUUUAUAUUAACUAGGGAUUUUGUCCUUAGAAAGUGAAAAAAUAUUUGCUACUAAGACUAUGGAUAUCUAGGAAGUUCACUUAUUUCUUAUCCCAAGUAAUAUUAUUGCAGGUACCUGAAUAUUGAAACUCUCCAUUAUUUUCAUAAUUUUUUUCCUUCAUUAUGAACUAAUUGUUGGUAUGAGGUUGCUAUUAAAAGCAAUAAAGCUGAUCUUGUAACCCACUUACCUACUAUUAUAUUAGGAUAAGUUCGAGAGAAGAAUUGGGUCAGUUUUGUAUGCCCAACUUAGUAAUUUUUUUCUCCUUGGACAUGCUAUACUUUGACUACUCCUGAGAUAUAAUGUGAACAUUUUGUUACGGUGGCAAGCUGAGUGAGAGAUAUUCUUCUAUAUCAUUAGAACAAAUCAACGAAGGCAUANNNNNNNNNNNNNNNNNNNNNNNNNNNNNNNNNNNNNNNNNNNNNNNNNNNNNNNNNNNNNNNNNNNNNNNNNNNNNNNNNNNNNNNNNNNNNNNNNNNNNNNNNNNNNNNNNNNNNNNNNNNNNNNNNNNNNNNNNNNNNNNNNNNNNNNNNNNNNNNNNNNNNNNNNNNNNNNNNNNNNNNNNNNNNNNNNNNNNNNNNNNNNNNNNNNNNNNNNNNNNNNNNNNNNNNNNNNNNNNNNNNNNNNNNNNNNNNNNNNNNNNNNNNNNNNNNNNNNNNNNNNNNNNNNNNNNNNNNNNNNNNNNNNNNNNNNNNNNNNNNNNNNNNNNNNNNNNNNNNNNNNNNNNNNNNNNNNNNNNNNNNNNNNNNNNNNNNNNNNNNNNNNNNNNNNNNNNNNNNNNNNNNNNNNNNNNNNNNNNNNNNNNNNNNNNNNNNNNNNNNNNNNNNNNNNNNNNNNNNNNNNNNNNNNNNNNNNNACGUUGUCUACAUUUCUCAGACCGAGGAAUAUAAAGUUCUAUGUCUUUAUUCUAAAGCUAGACCAUUGAAAUGGGACGUAUGGACACUUGGUAUUGAUCGAGAAUGGAGACGUUUUUUUGCUCCAACCUAUGAUCCUGAGUACAUGCUUAGUAGUGUUAGUGUUGCUGAGGUGGUUUAUGUUACCGUGAAGCCGACUACCAUCAUAGCAAUCAAUCUACUUACUGAAAAAUUUGGUUUCAUUGAGCUUUCCAGAGAAAUUCUUACCUUACCCUAUUUAUGUGUAGACGUGAAAAAUACGUUAUCUUUUCUUGUAAAACAAGGGGCCAAUGCAUGUAUAUGUGUGUUGAGGGACUUGGAGAAGCAAGAACUGGUUAAAGUUUGUGAGAUAAAAGGUACAUUUCGAGGGAUGGAUGUUUCAAGUGAUCGUUUCGCUUCCAUUGGCUGGUUGGAGAAUAACUGGUUCUACGUCUUUCAAAGAAGGCUGUCUGGUCACUUGCGGAGUAAUCGUCUUGAGGUCUAUGACGAGAACACAGGAAAAGCACGUGUGCUUAGCAUUGUCAAUGGAAAUCAUUAUCAGAAUUACCAAAUUCACUCCAGCUCCCUUGUUACAUGGGACACAUUAUUCAGUUUCUGUUUGGAAUAAGCAGAGAAAUCUUCUUAGGUUCUUUGGAUUUUGUUAGAAUACUAAUAUUAGUUAAAUUUUCAAUCGUUUCAUCCCNNNNNNNNNNNNNNNNNNNNNNNNNNNNNNNNNNNNNNNNNNNNCCCCCCCCCAAAAAAAUUGUUUCUCGUGCAUGAAAAAAGAAUUUAUUUUCCUUUUGUUGUGGGUAUCAUGAAUAUCGUCAUGGAAAAAUAUGGUUUUUUUCUGAAAAUUUACUCUUUGACUGAACACAAAAUGAAAUGUAGAGGUUUCAACCGUCCACAGGUCAAAUUUGUAAAGAUUAGUUCCAUUAUUUGAAUGUGGAAGCUUCCAUUGGUGUUGUAUAUUAUUAGAUUUAGCACAACGCAAUGUAUGUACACCACCACCCCCAGGCCUCAGCGUCCCGUCCUAUCUGUGUGUGUGUAUCAACUUUCUUUUCUCUAAUGUUACUGGCAUAGGAAUAAUAUUACUAAAUUUUUUUUUUCUGUUUAAUGAUUUGUGCCUUUUGCAGGUAGCCUUGAGUGAGAAUCAAAUAAGAAUAUCGUAGGCUAUAUGGCCUAUGGCAUUGGAAAAGUUUGAAAUAAUUGCAUGCAAUAGAAAUAUUUAGAGACCUAGAUGCUGGCCUUGGCAUUUGCCUCUGAAAGCAACAUGUAUUUACGAGGUCAAUUUAUAUUUUCUUUUGCUGCAUUCUUCUUCUACUUCUACUGCUAUAUCGAGAAGUAUUGGAGAUUUUAAAACUUUUCGCGUGUUUUUAGACUAUUCUGUGUGGGAACAUUACAGAGCGGAAAUGGAACUUGGUUGCGCGUUUGAUCACAGUUUUAUUCUGUAAACAAUGCACACUUGUUCUCUGGAAGUUUAAUGCAUUUCCUAUUUUUCCUCUCUUCUCUUGGUAUAUAACCUUUUAUUUAUUUUUGGGAAGAAUCUUUCAUUUGAUCCUAUUACACAACAGAUUCUUGUGUGUAGUUUGUUUCAUUAGCUGUAGCAUGUACUGAGAUCUUAGCAAUGUGCUUUUCUCGUCUUUAUAAUGCACAUGGAAAUCGUUUUAAUUCUUGGUCUAGAAUAUAUUCUGACCUUGUUUGGCCUCCAUUUUUUAAAAUUUAAACUUGUAAAUCUCAGUUUUAACACGCAUUUCACAAGUUAUAUCGACUUUUUAAAUCUCACAUUUCAUCAAAUUUUAUUAAAAUUUUAUUUUUAGUUAAACCAAAUGGGGACUCGAUGCGAUUAUAUAUAUAUAUAUAUAUGAUUUUUUUUUAAAAACUUAUUAAAUGAAUUUUUUUUUUUUAAACUUGUAAUUUACUAUUACUUCUUGUGUUAACUUGCGAAUGAAAUAUUUACUUGGUUUUAAGUUUUAUACACAAGUAAAGUUUUUAACUCAUAGUGAAUUUUACUUGUAAGAUUAUUUUUAUGUAUAAUUUUUAGCUUCUACGUAAUUUUUUACUUAAUAAGUGACAUAUACUUAUAAGUUAGUGUUGUCUAUCAGUAAUGACCUUUAUGCUUUUAAGUGAAUUUUUAUCUUUUAGUUAUUUUUUAGGUAUGAGCAAAUUUGCUUUACAUAAGUGAUUUACUUAUAAGUAAAUAUUUAGGUUAAUGUAUUUUUUGCUUAUAAGUGAUUUUCUUCUUCUUCUUUUUUAAUUAUGAGCAAAAAUUUUAACUUAAAUAAGAAUUUUUUUUUUUUUUAAAAAAAUAUACCUUAUGCAUGAAUAUUUGUCUUAUAACAAAAUUUUCUCAUAUGAAUAAAUUUUUGUCUUAGAGUGAAAUUUUUUAUCAUAAGUCUUAUUUUUAAUUUAUAACUUUUGACCUUUAAAUGAAUUUUAUACUUGUAAAUAAACUCAAUAUUUUAUGAAUUAUUCAUCACUUUCAUUAUAGUAACAAUUAAUACGAUCUAAAAUGUAAACCCAACUCAAUGGAAAUCUGUUUGUGUGGGUGUCUACCGGAAGAUUAUUUAACCUUAUAAAAAUAAUUCAAGUAUUUAUCAAUACCAAUGAAUGUUACUAAAUCGAUAAAGCUUGUAUUUUUAGCGGGUUGAAGUUUAUCUUCGACCAUUUUUUACACCAUAUCAAUCACGUUAAUUGCAUAAUAGAGAAGUAACUAAAAGAUAAUGAGAUACAAAGAGUGAUAUCAUCAGAACUAUAAUCUAUUUAUUUUGAGGGUUAACCAUUUGAAUUAUACUUGUCGACAUAAAUCAACCUAAUCCAUAAAUUUAUUACAACUAAAAAGUAUAUUAGUAAAUCAUAAGAGUGCAAAAAUUUCAAUGCAAUUAUUAUAAACAUUUGAAAGUGUGUUAUAGAAAAAUCACAAGUAAUGGGGUAUAUGAGUGUACGUAACUUGGUAGGAGGGGCAUGGAAUCAUGGUGUUUGUAGCGUGUAAUAAUAAAGGGAAUAUUAAAUUAUAAUUUGGGAUAGCCCAAAAGGCGCAAGACAGAAAUAGCCCUAAAUUAAAAGGUUGUUUUUUUAGUUCUCUGCUGUGACAACUUUCAACUUUAGAUGACCCAUAAUUGAUAUAAAUGAGUUGAGUGAAAGUGAAGACUGUUAGAACUUGAGAUAUGUAUCAUCCGCUAAGUUAAAUAGGACUUAAUUUAGCUCCCGUUUGGUUCUCAUUUUGUAGAAAUAAAAAUAUGUGAAAUAGUGUUUUUUUUUUAAAUAAGUGGUUAAAAAUGAAAGAAAAGUUUUUGGUUUACGUGUAAUAUUAUUUUAUAAAAAAUUGUUUGGUUGAAAAUAGUAGAGAGAAAAAUGAAAUGUAAUGGAAUGAAAAUUAAUGGAGGCCAAACAGGGGCUUAGUGGCGGAUGAAUUUGUUCAAUUUAAACAUCGAUUGAGUGUAUCUAAACCAUAUGCUUCACUGCUUGUAUGAACCGUGGGAUACUACAUGUGAUAGUUACGUUAGUCGAUAUGCAUUGUGUCUAUUCACUGCUACGACCUUGAAUGAUUUGAUUUAUAUAGUGAGUUCAUAUUAGUUCUAACUUUUUCCUUUUUGUUGGGCCAAUAGUGGAUGGCUUCAUGAAGGUUAGGUAAUUUGCUAUUAUGACUAGGGAUGACAAAAGUUCGGUUUCGGUUCGGUUCGGUUAAAAUCAUCAUCGAACCGUCAAUUUUUUUGCCAUUUCGGUUCGUAUCUCGGUUUGGUUCGAUUCAGUUAAUAACCGCGAAAAUAAAUUAUUUCUUAUAGGUUCAUCCAUCAAAUUGAUAUAAAACAAUUUAUGAAAAGAGAGUCAAUGAAAACAAUAACACAAUAUUCCAAACGAAAAUACAAACAUUAUCCCAAAUUUCAAUUGCAAAAUACAAAUUUAACAAACAAUAUUUUGAAUAUAACAAUACUAAAUUUUUCUUUCAUUCUUGAUUCUUGUGCAUUGUAGUUACUUGAUUCAUGCUUAAUAAUUCAAAAGUUUCGACCUUAACUCAUAUUUAAUCUUCAUUCUUCCCCACAAUUCUUAUUAGCAUAGGUCAGCACUUAAAAUUAAUUCCUAUAUAGUAAAUAAGAAAUGUAAGUAGAGAAUACAACGAUACUACAUAAUCCAGAAUGGUUUUAACUAAUAUUUAAAUAAAAAAAAUGUACAUCUUUGUCAACUUCCUCUUCACUAAACCUUGCCAUCCCUAAUGAAAGAAUGGUUUUUUUUAAGCGGGUAAUCGGUUGGGUUUCAGUUCUAUGGCAUAAAUAUCAUACCCGCACCGCCACGAAUUGGUUCAUUAAAACAAAUACUAUAUCCGCACCAUUGCACCAUCGGUUCGAUUUUUUUUUGUCCCAUUCGGUUCGGUAAAUCGCAAUUUUCGAUUUUAAAGGUUCAAAUUGCCAUCCCUAAUUAUAACCCACCAGUGUGAGAUUAAGAUUGCAUUUUGCCCUUGUUUGAUAGUGAUUAAAAUCAAUUACUUAUCAAAAUUUGAUACUUUGCAAUUGAGAUUUAGAAUAUUAACGCUAUACUAAAUUUUCAAAUGCACCCUCAGAUUAGCUUCUUUAAAGUCUAAUUCCUAUCAUUAAUGCACUAAUUGGAUCACAUUUUUUUACCUUCAUAAUUCAACAAAGAGUGAAAUGAUAAUUGGAGGAAAAGACACAAACGAGUUAACGGGAUGACUCGUGCAGUUGUCUUUCACCAAAAAAUGAAAAAAUAAAAAAAAAAUUAAUGUAUUUAAUUGCAAAGAGCCCAUUAAUCACCAGCAAGAAUUGAUUUUUUGGUCAAAAAUCGCGACUAGACAUGAGCUUAGUUAAUUAGGUAAUAAUCAAAUGCUUUAGUAGGUUUUGAGAGGCCAUGUAAAAUCAAAUAGUUUUUGUCCUUCGAAGUUGACCAUUUUAUUGUUUCAUUUCUUAGCCCAACAAGAUCCAAUCCACUAAAUAACCCAAAACACAUACACUAAAGUGUAUAAUGCUAUCUCGACCUUCGCACUUACUCUAGCAGUUUCGCUAACAUUCCAAAACCUAUACAAUCGUCGAUCGAUGCCGUGACCUCUAAUCGAAGCUGUGACCUUCGCCGACCAAAAUUUUGAUCGUAGCGAUCUUUUGAACAAGAUAGUCUACUAAUCUCUAACAUUCCAAAACAUUGAAUGUGCCAUUAGUUGUAUUUAUAUAAUAUUGUUAUAAAUGUUAAAAAAUUUAAUUAUAGUACAGAACCGAACCCGAACGGUUCCAUAAUUAUAUUUGGACCCGACGGUUCCAUUUACUAGAUACCUGAAAAUUUUGGUUCGAUUCGAUUCUCUUUAAAACCGAACGAACCGACCUGCGCCCACCCCUAUUAAAAAGUAUAAAAAAUUAUCUCUAUGCAUUAAUUUUAACACGUUAACAAAGUAAAUUGUAUUACUUUUAUUUCCUACUUCCAUCUUAUCUUCUCUUUAUUAGGGUUGGACAAAACACCCGAACCGAACCGAACCGAAUCCGACGAUUUUUCUUAAAUUAAAUACCCGAACAGGUAUUUGAAUUGAGAACCGACGGGUAUGGUUCGGUUCUCGGUUCUAGGCCAAGACCCGAAAAAUCGAAUAAGAAUUGAAUAUCCCUAAUUUUUUAAUUAAUUUAUUUUAAAUAAGCAAAAUUAUUUUAUUUUUUCUAAAUAAAUUUGUUAACUAGUUAAUUUAGUUCAAACAAAAAAAUAUGAUUUUCCUAUUUCUAAUUUUUAGUUUAAAGUCAACUUAAUCAAAUUAACCUCAAUUUAUCUAAAUUUGUUACUCUACUGUAACGUUGUUUUUACUGGAAAAAAUCGAAUUAAAGCUCUACAACGUCUCUCUUAAUUAUUUGGAGUUCACUAUCUUUCUUUUCCUAUGAUUUUAAUAAUCAAAUUUAUGAAAAAUUCAGUAAAGAGAGACGUAAAAGAAAUAUAAGAUUGGAUUACGUUAUUUUGUAAGAGCUAAAAUUGAACAUAUCAUUAAUUAAAUUAAUGUAACUUUAUAUAUAUUAAAAAAAUUAAUUAUAAUACGGAACCUCGGAACUGAAUGGAAUCGAACCGUUUUAUAAUUAAAUUUGGACUCGACAGUUCCACUUACUAAAUACUCGAAAAUUUCGAAUUGGUUCGGUUCUCAUUAGAAUCGAGUCGAAUCGGACCAUGUCCAGCCCUACUCUUUAUCUCUCAAUACAUCAACAAAAAAUUAUCGAAACUGGUGGAGGAAGAGAACUACAACUUCAAAAAUAUCUGAAGAAGAGUGGAAAUCACUGCCUUUAACAGCCACCACGCUCACGAUCUUGUGCCUGUAAAAGAAGCGAAGACGAUUCCAUCAGCUUUUCCAAAAACAAACUUCAUAGGAUAUCAAUUCUCAUUUUGAUUCUCUCUCAUUUGUUGUGCAGUGUGCUUGUUAUUACUAUUGCAUCUUUGCAUCUGCUGCAAUAUGUUGCCUUUAUGGUAGCAUUUUUGAAUUACUAUUGAAAAUUUACACUUUUUUUAAUGUCAAACUUCACUUUUUCACUUUCAAAUUAAAAAAAGUGACACUUGACUUAGAAAUAUGACAUCGGGUUUAUUAGAAAAGUGACAUCGUGUUUUACACAAUAUUUUUACUUCCAAAGUACUUUUCAUAAGAAUCUUCAAAAGAUCCCUAAUUUUAGGUGUAUUUUUGUAAGUUGCCCGUAAUAAUUUAUUUAAAUUAGGUCGAGCAAGGCUAUAUUUAGUGAUGGCAAUGGCUGGCUCGGCCCUUUAACCCAUGAGCUCGGCUUGGGCUUGUGGCAAGCUGAGCUCGUGGCUCGUUGCUCGGGGGCGAACUCUACUCGGCCCACGAGCUCACGAGCCACGAGCUCGUGGGCCAAGCCGAGCCCACGAGCUCGUAUUUUAUUAUUAUUAUUAUUUUUUUUUUUGCACUUUUUUGUAAAAAAAUUUCAUACUUUUGGACGAGCUUGGCUCGUGGAAUCGAGCCCGAGCUACCCACGAGCCGACGAGCCGCUCAGCCCAUUUGACAUCCCUAGCGAUAUUGGGUUAAACCUACACGUUGAGGCAAACUGUAGAUAAAUGUGAUGGGCCAUAAGAGGAUAUCUUAGACCUAUCUAGUCGAUUCAACCCCGCCUGUCAUUCUUCUGAUAUUUAGUGAAAAAAACCGUUGAAUGCACCAAAUGAAUGGAGAGAAUCAAACAAGUUGCAGCAUAGACAUUUAUGGUGAUGCUGAUGCCAUUUUGUCCAAGUUGCAUGACUAUUUUCUCUGCCUACGCACACCUAUAAAGUGGCAACUGCCAACCUUUGGGAAAACAAUAUGCAAGCAUCUUUGUGUGGGCUUAUGAAAUUUACUUAUAAGUAAGUUUAUUAAAAGUAAUUUAUGGUUGGGGCAUGUAAUUUAAAAUUAAGUUACUUAUUUAAUUGAAAGUAAGUCUUAAUAUGAAUUGCACAUCCUUGUUUUGAUCGUAAAGAAAAUCUUGUAUAUAAAGUUAUAUGCUUAUUUGAUUUAUUGCGCAUCCUUGUUUUAUCGAUUUAUUUAUGUAUGCACUACAAUAUAAUGAUAUUUUAAACCACUACUUGCAUGAUCGAAUGAUCUAGAGUACAAGUGACAAAAUUAUAUUUUUAAUCAAUGAUUUUUUCAAAAAUAAUACAAAUAUAUAAGUCAUCUCAAGAAGAAAAAUAAACAACCGGAUACAACAAAUUAUUUCAAUACUCUUUGAUGGAGAAAAUUGAAGCCUCUAAUGUUCAAUAUUGUUCCAUAUUUUCAAACUUAAGAAAAUUAUUAAAUUAAACAAGCAACCACUGUUUUUCAUAAUCUUUUUAUUAAAAAUUGAUCAUCUCUUCUUAGAAAAUUUGGAGGAAACAAAUAAAUAAAAAAAGAGAGAUUUUGUAAGAAUUUUUACUCAGAAAUUGAUCUUUUUUAAUAGAAAAGGAAAUGAGAACAAUAAUAAUAGUUUGAAGAGGAAAUGUAUAUAUUUAUAUUUAUACAUAUCAGUUUUUUGGGCUUGUGGAAUGAAAGAUAAAAGAGAAAUACUGAAGAAGGGAAAAUACUACAUAUUGAAAAACAUUUCUUUGUAAAAGCUCUUCAAAAUAUUUUAUGAUAUUUUCUAUUUGAAAUAUUUACUUAAAAGUUAUACGUGGAGAUUUUAGCCAUUGACAUUUUGAAUAAUUAGUCAACGUUGAAAGCGCAUUGCACAUUAUUACGAAAUGCAUUAUAAGUGUUGUAAAAGUAAUAUUUGAAUAUGUAUAAAUGUUAACUGAUUUAUAAUUUAUAUCAAGGAAUAUAUACGUGACAAUGAAUAUUAAAUAUUUUAUUUAAUUUCCAAUUAAGUAAAACUAGAUGUUAAUUAGCAUAUAUGGACGUUAAUAAUUAAAUGCAUUUUUAAAUGUGAAAUUGUAAUUAACUUAUAAUUAGAAUUAAUAACACUAAAGUGCAAAAUGAAGAUGAAUAUUAAUUAAAUAAAUGCGAAUUUUAAUUAGUUGAGAAUAAAUAAUACGAAAUUCAUACAUUAGUGAAAACAUGCAAGUGAAAUGAAUAUGUCAAAUGUACAUGUACAUUGAUGAUAACUAAAUGGUAAAUAAAUUAAAUAAUAUUGAAAAACGAAAAGUAAGAUAUUGUUGAACUAAUUGAAAUAUAACAGGGCUAAGUUGUCAAAAAAAAAAUUGCUUUAUAAGUGUUUUAAAAGUAAUAUUUGAAUAUGCAAAAAUGCUAGUCAAUAUAGAAUUAAUAUUAGAAAAUAUAUACAUGACAAUGAAUAUUAAACCAUUUAUUUAAUUUCAAAUUAAGUAAAACUGGAUAUUAAUUAGCAUACAUGGAUGUGUAUAAUGAAAUGCAUUUUUAAUGUAUAAUUCUAAUUAACUUAACACUGAAAUGCAAAAUAAAAAUAAAUAUUAAUUAAAUGAAUGUGAAUAUUAAUUCAUUAAGAAUUAAUAAUAGAAAAUUCAUACAUUAUUGAAAGCAUACAGGUGAAAUGAAUUUAUCAAAUGUAUAUAUACAUUGACGAUAACAGUUAAAUAAAUUAAAUAAUAUUGAAAAAAGAAAAGAAAGAUGUUAUUGAAAUAAUUGAAUUAUAAUGAGGUCAGAAUUGUCUAAAAAAUGAUUUUCACUUGAGGUGAUAUAUAAAAGGAUUCUCACUUGAUGUGAUAUUUCAAAUAUUAUAGAUUCGUACCUUCCAAAAUUUUGAGAAAGUCUUGAUUUCUUACUUCAAAACAUUAAAAAGACUUUUAAAAAGUCAAAAAAUCUCGGUUGAAUACACUUAGGGCGAAUUUGAUUUGGUCUAUUUUUCAUGGAACGUUUUUCAUCUUCCCACUUUGGGCAUGUUUGAUGGCAAUAACUUUCUUGGUAAUUUGUUUUCCAUCUUCCCUCCACACAUAGUGGUGGCAAUGGCUUGGCUCAACCCUUAAUUGCACAUGCUUGUGGCUCGUUGAAAUUGGGCGAGCUCGGCUCAGUUCGGGAGCCGAGCUUGGGCUCGUCCAAAAUUUAUUAUUAUUUAAAAAAAAAGAGUUUUACAAAUAAAUAAAAUAAUAGAAAACACUUUUAAAAAAAAAUAAAAAGUGUUAAAAAAUACAAAUAAUUUAACAAAAAUAAUUUUUUAUUUUUUUUAUUUAUAUCAUAUUGUAAUACUUUUUAUAAAGUAUAAAAUAUUUAUGUAAUGAAGACGAAUUAUUUUUUGAAAUACAUUUACAAAAAAUAUAUAUUUUUGAUUUUUUUUAAAGUAGAUAAAAUGUAAACACUCUUCCUUUAUUCGGGUUUGGGACCGGCUACAUCAAUUUUAAGUAGGCGGAAUUAAAGAACAACUUGUUAUAACGUGUAUAAUUUUUUAAAGAAAAUUAAAUUUAACGAUUAAAAAAUAAAGAAAUUUUGAUUAAUAUAAUUAAAUCAAAUAUCACUUACUUGACGACAUGCAAUUUCAGCGCAUUUAUCUUGUAGUCGAAAAUGAGCGUCAUGCCAAUCCUUCACGCACAUUAACGCUUCCAAAAUAUCUUUUGUCAGUCGGUUCUUGACAUUGGUCAAAUUCAUUUUAUCUGCACUAAAAACAGACUCCGAAACAACAAUGCUAACCGGAGGUGUUAACAGAUUUUUCGCAAUUGCAGAAACAAUUGGCCAACGUCUUUCAUACUUUCGCCAGAAUUCAAUUACUUCUUCUGAACUUUUUUUAAUUGUUCUGUCUGUUGGCAUAUUAUGAUUGAAGUAAUCAAUUAAUUCGGUAGGCAUCGCAUUUUGAGUUUCGGCUGAUGUUUGAUGAGAUGCAAAUGUAGACGAUAUCGCACUAGAUGAACACAUUGCAGUUGCAUCAUAUCUAAAUGUAUUAAUGCCUUGAAAUAAAUUCAUUAUUUCAGCAUCAUCUUCUUCAAUUUCAGCAGAAGGAGAAGUGCAGAGGGUACCCGACUAACAUUCGCACACAUUCUUUCCGCAUAUAAAUCAUACAUUCCACACAAUAUUUGCUCUAAAUCCUUUUAGGUGAUAUGUGUAUCAAGUAUUAAAGUUUUAUUGAUUUGAUCAGUUACGUAUUUAGUUCCCGAAAUAUUAUAUCGGGGGGUCCAUUGCGCAUGCUAAAAGAAAUAAUAUAGGCAGUUCUUUCCAAUAUUUUCUAAACUUUAAUUUCAUAGUAAUUAUAAUUUCACUAAAAGUAUGAUCAUUUUUAUAUUUAUGGAAUGUUCUUGCAAUUAUAUAAAGGCGUUCAAGUACCAUACAGCUUGUGGGAUAAUAAAAGCCGGAUAAAAUCUUUGUGGUCUCAUAAAAAGAUGUCAAAAAUCGUUUAACUUUCAAAACUAAAAUCCAAUCGGAUUCAUUUAAUAUACCAUCAUCAUCACUUUGAACGUGUCUAUUGUUAUAAAAGUCAGUUAUUAAAUUUUCGAAACCUUCACAUGACUUUAAUAGCAAGUAAGUAGAGCUCCAUCUGUGGCUUACGUCGCUAACAAAUGUUUUAGCAGUCGUCACCCCUAGUUCAGCACAAAAAUCUUCAAAUAUUUGUUUUCUACUAAGAGAGAUCGUAAUAUAUACUAAUGCAUUCCUAAUCCUUUGAAAUUCAUCCUUUAUAUGUUUUAAACCAUCUUGCACAAUUAAAUUCAAGAUAUGACACACACAACGAAUAUGAAACAAAUACCCACGAAAAUCAGGUUGAAGUGUCCUACACAAUUUAUCGACGACUACCUUAUUAACACUAGCAUUAUCAAAAGUAAAAGAUCGAAUUUUAGUCUCAUAAUGAUAUUCUCUAAUAAUACUGAUAAUUGCAUUAUAUAUAUUAUUAGCAUUGUGAGGAAACUCAAUAAUUCUAAAAGUAAUAAUUUUCUUAUGCAUGCACUAAAGUGGGUCUAUAGAGUGUGCGGUUGCAAUUAUAUAUGCUCUUUUAUUAACCCCUUCCCAUAUAUCAAAAGUUAAAGAUAUAACACCCCUAUAUUGUUGCAAAUUCAUAAUUAAUUGUUAUUUUGAAUUAUUGAAAUAAUUUAUUGUAUUGGCAUGAAGAGUGUUUCGACUUACUCCAACGUACCUCGGUUGUAGAUAUUCUUUCACGAACGAGACGAAGUGUUGGUUGUCCGCAAUAGUCAGAGGUAACUCAGUGGCAGCAACAAAUUUCACCAUUUCGGUUUGAGUAUUGUCCUCCGAAUACACCCACGUGGAUAGGGGUGAAGUUGUAGAACCGAUGUCUGGACUGCCAAAUUACAAUUGUGUUUGACCGGCUGGAAGAAGCCCAUCUCGGGCCACACAUGCUUUGUAAUCGCGGUUGAGAUGGGUGGUACCAAUUCCUUUUUGUCAUGUCAAUCUUUGUUGGUAAUAUUUACAUACUGCAAGGCCAUCGACGACUUUUUCCGUUGAAAUCAAUUUAAAGUGAUCCCAAUAUUUUGCUUGUUUUUUGGCCUUUUGCUUUCCCCUCGUAUCUGGGAUGUUUAAUUCAGCAUCUUCAUCCUCAUGUUCCGCUUCGGAAAUGUUAAUAUCAUCCAAAUCAAUUGGAUCAUGGCUUCCCUGACCGUGAAUGUGAACAUCUUCAAGUAUCGGUAGGUCAUUUAGACCUGUAAAUUCAUUUGGAAAUUGACUUUGCGGUGUCCUAAGCGAUUCGCCAUGAUGUGGCCCACAUCCUGUAUCGAACAAGCUUUCAACAAAUGAGCGUUGAUGACACGACCGGUCCCGAAUCACCCUAGUGGACCCGAAACGUGACGUGCGCCGAUAAUAGAUGCUGACUAGAUGUCAAAUCUAUCAUCAAGGCUGACUAUGAGUUAUUUCAAAAAAAAUGCAAACAAAUCAAAUGCUUAUAUAAAAUAUAAUGUGAUAAGCCCAAAAUAUUUACUUCGUGCUUCAUCAAUAUGAGUUAUAAUACUCAACAUGUCGUGUGACUCUCAUUCCGAAAUCAUUAGGCUCUUCCAGCUAAAAAGAAUCAGUUGCUACCUGUAGGAAAAAUCGUGGGAAAAUAUAUGAGUUGAUAACUCAAUGAGUGGAGCAGUUCAAAAAUAAUUAUACUUUUUCAAUUUUUCAUUUCUAUCGAAAAUAUAGUUCAUAUCAUUUAAUAAUUCACAAGAUAACAUCAUGUAAUUAUAACCAAAAGUGAAAUAUUCACAUAAGGUCGUAAAAUAUUAUCUCAAAAUCAUGAUAUAAAUAUCAGCUGAUAACCACGCUAUAAUCUCAUCACAUCAAACAUACUGAAAAAUCCACCAAAAAUGUACCCUCUGACUGAAAUAUAUAAUCCGCCCAUCGGGUUAAGAACUUUCGCCACGGGCUUUUGGCCCCUCCGUAAACGAAAGUCGGUCUCAAAGACCUCUCACAAUCAAUUUUAGAACACGGCCAAUGCCCCUUUGUGAACUAUAUGUACACGAUCAAGACCAAUGUCAGGUCAAGACCCUCCGUGUAGGAUAGAACACGGCCAAGGCCACUCUAUGAACUAGAAAAAUUAUAUAAUCAUGGAUACUUUUCUGGUCGAUCUCAAUAUUGCAUUUCUCACAUACCAAAAAAAUCUCAAUAUCACAUGUCUUACCUAACAAGUCACAAAUAUGUCAUAAUAAUCUUUGAUAUUUCACAUGUAUCAUAAUAAAAGAUAUUUCCAUAAUAACCAUAUAAUUCGAACACGUAAUUGCACACACUUUGACAAUAUACUUAAUUUAUAAAUAUUUUAAAAAUAUUUAUAUUUUUUCAUUCACAGUACUAUGUUCGCAAAAUUAACCCGAUUGGUAAGCUGUUCUGAUGUCAGUAUUGUCGCCUGAAAUACGAUAUAAUUUUUAAAUGAACAAUUAAUUAUUUUAAGAAAUUUCAAUAAUUAAAUAGGCAAUGCCCAAAUUUAAUCAUUUCACAUUUGGGCAAUUUCUACAAUCUCUUUAAUAACUAAAACUAGUUUUUCUUUAAUUUUACUCAAUUUCUUAGUUUAUUGUACGUAAUCCCUUCAAUGAAAUUGAAUUUAAUCUAACAACUAUAAAAUCAAACACAAUUUGACAAUAAGUAAUUUUUUCUUACCUUUCAAAAUUGAGGAAUUCAAGCCUAAUAAUGUAGACCACUUAAUUUCUAACACGUUGGCAAAAAUUUUCUAUAGGGGGAACGAGCAAGAAAAUUCUGGGGAGAACAGUGGUGUGAGGAUGGUGUGCCGUGGGAUGUUUUAGGAUCUCGUAGAAAAUGAUGAUCUUGGUGCAUUUGGAGGAUGGACAGUAUUUGGUAGGAUUGAGGUUGUUCUUUCGACGAAUAAGUGACGUUUUAACCAUUUUUACUAAUUCUGAUGCAGCAUCCUCCGCAGAGGGACUGCAUUGUUGGAUUUGGCUGCUCUUAUGGAGGUGCUUACAUCCUACAAUCAAACAAAUAAGAACUCUCCGGAAAUUUCUGCUUUAGGUUUAACCUACGAAGUUCAAAAAAUUAUACCCGUUUACUGGUUAAUUUCUUUCCAUUUUCUGGAUUAUAAGUACUGAAAGUUGAU